RNAcentral lists this ribosomal RNA (379 nucleotides) under Phymata americana metcalfi. RNAcentral describes it as "partial large subunit ribosomal RNA". The record is from RNAcentral. Lineage: Eukaryota; Metazoa; Arthropoda; Insecta; Hemiptera; Phymatidae.
UGUCUUUUAGAUUUUAUUAAAAGUCUGACCUGCCCAAUGAAUUUUUUAAUGGCCGCGGUAUUUUGACCGUGCAAAGGUAGCAUAAUCAUUUGUCUCUUAAUUAGAGGCUGGAAUGAAUGGUUGGACGAGAAAUCAGCUUUCUUUAAUAUAUUCUUAAAACUUAAUUUUUAAGUCAAAAAGCUUAAAUUUUAUUAAGGGACGAGAAGACCCUAUAGAACUUUAUUAAUUUAUUGGACCACAUAAUUUUUUUAUUUACUUUUGUGGUCCACAUCUUUUAAUUGUGUUGGGGUGACAUAGAAAUUUAAUUAACUUUCUUUUUUUAUAUUCAUUGAUUAGUGUAUUUUUAGAUCCAGGUUUAUCUUGAUUAUAAGUUUAAGUU